GUUCGCUACGUCCUAACUCACAGAGGUCUCUUUCUUCUCCAUUGCUUUUGUCCCAUCGCGAUCUCAACGACGAGCUCCUCCCCCUCUGAAUCGCUGCUUCCUUUUGUUCUCUGUUGCGCUUUGUCGUAUUUGAUUUGCUCUUUGGGCAAUCUAUUUUAGGUUCUUUUCUGGGUUUUUUUGAUUGCUACUUCCACCUCAUCGCCCUCGGAGCAGUAGGCUGAGGCUGUAUUACUACAUGCCUUCGCAAUGCACCUUCUCACCAAUCUUCCUAUGAGGACGGUGUUUGUUUUCGGAAGAGCAUGAUAUCCUUGUCAGGUGUUUGAUUUCUGCGUAUGCAUCUUAAUUUGGGAAGUUUAAUGUAAGAUCUUGAUUAAAGAAGGUUUAAUAUGAAAUUGUUUUCUGUUGGAUUUCAA
Long non-coding RNA from Ananas comosus (pineapple), 413 nucleotides. RefSeq lists it as uncharacterized. The transcript is spliced from 2 exons. The record is from RefSeq and is a predicted model, not a curated record. NCBI's taxonomy places the organism in Eukaryota, Viridiplantae, Streptophyta, Magnoliopsida, Poales, Bromeliaceae.